This 277-nucleotide ribosomal RNA is filed under the name uncultured Caulobacterales bacterium. RNAcentral describes it as "partial 16S ribosomal RNA". It matches the Rfam family "Bacterial small subunit ribosomal RNA", at positions 505 to 781 of the family's 1533-position model. The record is from RNAcentral. Lineage: Bacteria; Pseudomonadati; Pseudomonadota; Alphaproteobacteria; Caulobacterales.
GUGCCAGCAGCCGCGGUAAUACGAAGGGGGCUAGCGUUGCUCGGAAUUACUGGGCGUAAAGGGAGCGUAGGCGGACAUUUAAGUCAGGGGUGAAAUCCCGGGGCUCAACCUCGGAAUUGCCUUUGAUACUGGGUGUCUUGAGUAUGAGAGAGGUGUGUGGAACUCCGAGUGUAGAGGUGAAAUUCGUAGAUAUUCGGAAGAUCACCAGUGGCGAAGGCGACACACUGGCUCAUUACUGACGCUGAGGCUCGAAAGCGUGGGGAGCAAACAGGAUUAG